CCUGAAGGCCAUGAAUCACAUAACAGAAGAGUCAGCCCUUUGGACCAAGGUUGACUAUGGGAUCGAGGGUCUUCCCCUCUGUGUUGCCUCAUGCCUGGGGUCAGUGGAAAAACUACAGAACCCUGGAGGUUGGGUCUGGCUCCAGCUGGUUUCCCUAUCUCCGUACAGCAGGGGUGUUGCCAUGACCCUGAGUAGCCUCAGCCCCGUAUCUGGCCACGUGCAUGCAGGUCUGGAGGCAUUCUGCAGACAUCCAGCCACCUGGGGCCACCUGGCGCCUCGGCUUCUCCCCUCAGAGCUCCCCUCGUCUCUGUCUCCUCUUCUUCCUCCCCCACCUACCACCCAGGGUGCAGUGCAGGGGAAACCUGCACUUAUCAAGACAAAGAACAAAAGUCGUGGGGGCAAGGAGCCAAGAGCCAUGUCUACUCUGGGGUAGGGCCUUCAGCUUCGCCCCUUUGAAAUUUCAAAUUCCAGUUUGUGGACAAAGUCCUAACUAUCUCACAAUAUAGGUCCCCAACUGCUGACCAAACUCCAGUCCAAGCAGCCACCUGGCCUCAGACUAGCCUGGCUUUGCCGUUUCCUUUGGCAGCUCCCAAGACCCGAGGGUAAGAGUCCUGGGUGCCUGGGACCUACCAGGCCAUCCUGCAUCUCCCAUGGGCCUCCCGACCCAGGGACCCCCAUUCUUAUCUGAGAGGACCACCUCUUCCUGAAGCUGGAACCUGAUACUUAUUGUUGCCAACUGAAACCAGGUGGGUACCCUCUCUGGUCCUUUCUGUUCCUUUUUGAACUCCUGUGCUGUCUCUGUCCUACCAUGGCUAAGUCCCAUCUGGACCUCCUGGAACUUCAGACUGGAAAAGGCAUCUUCCUAAGCUACCCCCUAGGGCAGAUGGAGACCCUGAAUCCCUCAAGUGAAGGGUACUUACUGCAGGCUGGGAGUUGGGUCGAAGACCUGAGGCCUCUCACCAAGCCCAGAGGGGAGAAGGGACUUGCCUUCAAGCUAAUUAGUGGUGGCAGUGUGAAUUCUGUCUUAAUAAAGGGGGACUCCGUUGCUUUUCUAUUCCACAGACUGUGGGUGGCUGUAUGUUGCUUCACUCAAUGGCUGUUGGCCACUGGCUUGUUCAUUGACCACAGUAUCUUAGAGAGGAAGAUGAGGGGGCUGGGGGCUGAAGACCAGUGGUUUUAGACGGAAACAUUUAUGUGGUUAACUGAUAACUGGGCCCCAUCCCUGGGGCCUCCAGUAGCCUCUUCCUCCCUCCUGUCCUCAGUGUGAUUACGAUGAACUUACCUGCCUGCUAAUCAUUGCUGAGCCUGUUGGUCUUGCUUUAAAAAAUUAACUGGGCAUGAGUUUGCGAUUUGUCUCACCCCUAACCCUGAAAAGGCCCCGGGUGGGCAGGAGGCCUCCUGGGUUAUGCAAGAGGCCAUUGGCCUCUCCACACAUGUCCAGCAGCCUGUGCUGCGCCCUCCGGAGGGGAGACUUUGCUCAAGAGUCAACAGUCUGCAUGUGCCCUGCUCCAGGGCCUGAGUAUAUUUGCUCUGUUACCACAGGGAGAUAAAGGUAGCUGGGAACAUCCCGUAGGGGGAUGUGAAAGUAGGGGCUCGUAGCUCCAAUGUCCAAGCCAGGGAAUCUUAGGGGAGAUGCAAGUGGAGGCUUUUGAAGCCGGGUCCUGGGGUUCCCAGGAGCCCGCAGAGGAGGGGUCACAGGAUGCCUUCUUAGGUGAGAUCUUAAUAGUUCAUUUUCAAGCUGGGAAAGUGCUGGCCUAGACCAGCAAGUGGGAGAUAGAGGCAGAGGAGGGGAUGUAGCCUGUCCAAGAAUAGGCUAUACUAGAUAGUCUGGGCUUCCUGGGACAGAGAUGACAGGUAUCUCUGGGCCUGACUGAAAUGUUAAAGGACAUCCAGGGACAAGUCUUUUCCUCUGCUGAACAGAUCUCUGAGAGUCACCAGAGGCCCAAGUUAGGGGACGUCAUCAGUGUCCUGUAGGCCUCUCAGUGGUCCCAGCAGCAGGGACAUGAGGUAGGGUACCUCCUAGCCUUCCUAGCCUUGGCUAUGUCCUAUCUCUGGAAGCAUCAGUCCGUUAGAGACACGCAGAAGUCAGAGUCCUUCCCAGACUGUCUGGGCCCUUCGGUUUCAGUUUCUUCCCUAUAAGUUGAGAAAAUGCCUAAGUUCUGAUUUCUCCCACGAGGAUGAAUAGCGCCAGAGACAAAGGUCAUGCAUGGUCAUCUGUGUCAGGAAAUUCUCACAUGGCUCUGAUGCUGGGUGUUUUCAUGAGCAGUUUGUUAAGACGGCUUCCCCAGAGAGGUUGAUAGGAAAUACUCCUAAAAUCCAACCUAACUCCAGAACCUGUAUUCCUCAUCUGUACAAAACUUUCCAGACAUGGUAAAUGCUCAAGAGAGGAAGCUAGUACAAGGGUACAGAAGCAGUUCUGGGCAGACAGCAGUGUAUUGUGGGAGGUUCUGACAGGGAAGACUUAGGGAGGUUUGGUGAGCGGAUGGUCUGGGGAAUGAUCAGGGUAGAAGCCAGGAUUUGGGUCCCGUGGGUGGUGUUUCCUGAGGUCUGUUUGCCUACGGCCAGGUGGCUUAUGACAUCUGAGCUGACAUUGCCACUGUCCUGUUUGUGUUCUGUGAGGGUGACCUUGGCCUGUGUGGGACCUGAGGGGGGUGAUGGGGAGUUCCUGUCUUCCCAAGUUCUGGUUUUGGGAAUGAGGAAUGAACCUGCUAUUCAGAAAUCAUCCUUAAUCCCCUUGACUCCUGUUCGGAGGGGCCCCAGGGAUUUGUCCGAUGUCAUCAGGAUUUGGGAGGUCAGAGACAGACCAGAAACACUGUGUAUAGUUGCACAGGGCACACAUUGCACAAAUACUCCAGUCCAGAAAGCUGAGAUGGGGGAUGGUGCAGGGGGUGGAAGUCCAGCCCUUGUUCCAAAGCCCCGGAGCCUGCUCUAUCCAAAAGGGAUACAGUUUCUUAGUGGAGCAAACGUUACAUGUAAACCAUUGGAUAGCUCAUCCCAGCUUUGCUUUUAGCUGUGUGUGGUCCUUGGGAAAGCCAUUUUCCUCUUUGGUCUAUGGGAAACCGAGCAGAAGGUUCAUUCUGGGUAAUGCAAAAUGGAACCACUUGAGACUGUAAAGGGUUUUUACAUCCUAGCUUUUAAAGAGCUUGUUCCGGAGUACGGCUGGUGGCACAAUGCUUGCCUAGAACGUAAUGGGCUCUGGACAUCCCCUAGUUCCACACAGGGAAAAAAAAGAGAUAAAAAGUGACUCCCAAGCCCCGUCACAAACCAACAGGCAAAUCUUGGGGUUGGACAGCCAGGCAGGCAAGGUAGCACACAUCUGUAACCACAGCAAGAGAAUUGGGAAUCCCAGGCCAACCUGGGCUAUCCUGAUGAGAGGAAGGCCAGCCUUGGCUUAUGUGGCCACACUCUAUCUCAAAACAAAAAUCUUGGAAUGGGAGGCACAGUUCUAGGUGUUGGAAACUUCCAGAGAAAUCUGACGGAUGGCCAUAAUUCUGAACCUCUGUGGGGCCAGAGAAGGUUGGGGAUAUGUUGGUGUAGGUCCAGGUUUGACUAUGUACAAGUCAAACCAUUGGCGAGGCUCAGUUUCCCCAUCUGUUAGGUGGGUCAGUGAUAACUUCCUCUCAAAGUCAGAAUGCUGACUCAUGGGUGAUGUUUGCACCACACCUGGCUCUGUCUCCAGUUUGUGGACAGCACUGAUGGCUAUUUGCUGUUAAUAUUGGCAACAGCAUAUUGGCUUCCAGGUCAAGGAUGAAAUGACCUGGAACUAAUUCCUAGGACGUGUGUUGCAAUCUUCACUGCACACCUGUCGCUAUGGAAUUGUGUGUGGGUUAAUAAUAAUAAUAGUUAUUAUUAUUAUUAUUAUUAUUAUUAUUAUUAUUAUUAUUAUUAUUUACUAUUUUACCACGUUUGUUUCAGCCUUUCAUCUUAAAUCCUAGCUAUGUUGCUGUGUUUCAAACUAAAACUUUAAGAAGGCACCAUCCCCUGAGACUUGCUUCCCCUGACGCUGUCCACCACCGCUCCCAGCUUCCGCACCAUCUGAGGCCAUUUCUGACUUUUUUUUUUCCCUUCCAAGCCUUCCGGGAGCCUUGCACGUAUGUCCAGGUCCUGUGCACUCCUGUGUUAUCAUGCAGCUUCCUGCACUGUCCUGCACUCUGUUUUUCUCACUCUCUGUGGUGGUCAGUAGGUUAUCUGACACCAUUAGGGCAAGCCUUGGCUAAGGAAGGGCAAGCUCAGCCUAGAAGCCUUGGUUUCUCAGGGAGUCAAGUCUCAGAUUUUUAUUUUUUGGUAGGGUUUUAUACGUGUGGCUUAGGCUGGCCCUAACCUCACUAACUAGUGGAGAAUGGCCUUGAACUUCUGGUCCUCCUGCCUAUGCCUUCUAAAUACUAGGAUUACAGAUGUGUGCUGUUGUGUAUUUAUUCAGUGCCGGAUACAGAACAUGGAGCUUCACGCACGGUAGGCAAGCAAGCACUCUACCAACUGUGUCCCCAGCCCCUGGGGUUUAAAUUUCCCUCGUAGUUGCUGGAUUGCCAGGACAUUUUGGGUCUGAAAUCCUCAGAGAGGCUAAAGAGUGAGUAAGGCAUCAAAACUGGGACCCAGAGACUAACUAUCGCCCGAGGGGCAUAGUCAGGGCUCUGUGGCCAAGCCCUCUGUCCCUGUGGAGACUGUCUAGAAUUCUCUGCCAGACUCAGGGUGAGUGUCUAUAGGGCUCAGAAGGUCCAGAGAGAAAGCAGUGAGGAGGGGAGAAAGCAGGGUCAGUGAGACAGGCUGCUUCCAGCUCCUGAGGACAGAGUGGACAAGACAGAAGUGUCAGCAGGUUUUGCUUCUCUUUAACGAUUAGAUCACGUUGAGAUUCCCUCCUCUGAAUUCUUCACCUGCUUCAGUUUACUGACUUUAAGCAGCUCACUUGCCUUUCUCUGCCUCAGUUUCCCCAACUGCAAAAUGAAGAUAAGACGGCUGAUCAGCCUUGCAGUACUCCUGAAGAGUCUUCGGGGAUCUGGACCGUAUUUUGAUCAAAUGUCCUCCACCCAUCAGAACCCUUGUCCUUCUGGGCUGGGAUGGAGACUGGGACUAAAGAUCUCCACACACCCUGAAUUCUAAGCUUCUCCCUGAGUCCUUGGUCUCUCUUCUACCACCCUAGGCUUCCUUCUGGACAGAUCUGAACUCAAGAGCAUACCUGGAGAAUCUUGAUGACCUGGAUGAGCUUGAGGCCUCCUCCUCUGUCUCUUCCCAAUCCCCAGAGCUUUGCACACACUGUAUUUAUCAGAGUAUGUAAGUAUCUGUCAUGGCCACUGCCUCCUCCUUUGGACUGCCUGUCUGCCGUGGUUUUUGAGGGACCCCACUGGUGCGUAAAGUAAGUGGUUGGCUGAAUAAAGGAGUGAAAAGCUGAAGGAACCCACUCAUCCAAGCAUUUGGCUUUGUCAGCAUUGUGACUUGGAGGCUGGAGGCAGAGCAAGGAAGACAGUGGGAGAGAGCCUUCCCUUGCAGGACUGUAGUUAGCAAUGAACAUAAAAACAUCCGCUGAAAUUGUAACUUCAGACGUCCACCUCAGAUACUUUGUAACAUAAGUAUAUCCCUAAUAAUGCAUGAACCACACUCAUACUUAAAAAAAAAAAAAAUAAAAGGGAUGGCUCAGCACGUAAAGGCAUCUGUGCCCUAGCCUGACUCUGGUGACUUAGGAACCUACCCCGGCAAAGUUGUCUCUGACCUCCACAGGAGCCUGUGACCACCUACACACCUUCACACUCACAAUCGUUUUACUUAAAAAAAGGUUAAGGAAGGGUGUGGUUUAUCCCAAGUCCAAAUGUAACUGAGAGUUGAGGCUGUGUCUGGCAACUUCAUUCUCAGCCUGGCAUAACAGGCAGCGAGGGAAGUUAAUCAAAAAGGGAAGUAUAUUUUAAAUAGUGAGCAACUGCCCAGAACAAGGAAGCUGAGAGAGAUGACAACACUUGGUGGUCUGGUGUCCCGGGCUUUGGAUAGCGUGGCCCUCUCGAGGAGGAGACAAUUUUACACCCCAGCGAGGAGUUGUUAGGAAAAGCUUAAUGCGUGCAUUACUUUGUGAGGGACGGGCAGGGGGUUGCUGGCUGCUGAGUCACUUGACAGACUGUAUUUUUGCACCUUGGAUCUGAGCCUUCGCAAUCCUGCGUAAACCCGUGGUCCCACCCCCCCCAGGUCAGCCAAUGUCCUUGGCGGGGCCGAGAGCCAGAGGAAAAGGGCCAAAGGAGCUACGCAGAGAAGCGUGGCCACCGAACAGAGCUCAGCGUCCUGAUAUCCUCUUCUGGCCUAUCCCUGUCCCCCAUUGUAGCAGGGCAAACGGAAACCAGCUCUGCAAAUCUUCCUUCCCCUGACAGCAUCCAGCAUUGAGAUUUGGUCUUCGAGGGCUCCUCCUAGCGGCCAUUAUGGGAACUGGCGUUCAGAGACUAUCGCAAACAUUCCAGGGGGCCGGCCGCCACUGUAAUCCAGUCACAGCCCACUGCACCAACCAGAAUGCAAGAUUUAAAAAAAAAAAUCUAUUCUGCAUUUCCAACUUCCUUGAAAGUUCGGGUUCCAACUCCCGGAGCCAGUGUGCGGGCAGCUUUGAGGAAGUUCCCAGAGGCUUUGUGCUGGCAUCAAACGGAAGCCUCUAUUUGCGUUCAUGGUCAUUUAGAAUGGUAUUCAUAACAUUAAAUACCACUCCCUCAUCAUAAAAGUUGAUAUGGGAGCUGUAGGCUCAGUGGUUAACAGUGCUUACUUGCAGAGGACCCUGGUUGGGCUUCCAGCACCAAUGGGGUAGCUCACAACAGUACCUCCAGUUCCAGGGCAUUUGAUGCCCUCUUCUGGCCUUCAUGGGUCCUACACACACAUGGCACAAACUCACUCAUUCACAUAUGCACACUCCACACUCACAUAUACACACGCACACAUGCGUGCUAAUAGUUAAACAAAAAUAAAGAAAAGUUAGCAUGGAGAUGUGAGCGAAGGUCAGCUCUGUUAACUAGGCUCGUGUUGAACACAGUGGAAGCUUUGUCCAGUAGGAUGGCUUGUUCCCUUCCUAAGUUCUUAUCAUCACCACCACUACAUGUGAUAUCCACCUUCAUCUUCAUCAAAAAACUCAGUUUACACUAUCGAUGACAGUAGCUAGAAUUCCCCCUACUCCACUACAGCCAACUUGGGCACAAUCACCAUGUUUGCUGGAAGCCAGCAGAAAUCUGUGCACAACUCUUCCUUGCCCACUCUGGCUUCUGGGCCAUCUGCUCUUCAUCCAAAGCUGGGCUGUGAUCAUGCGCAAACAUACCUUGCCUCCGAUCUCUUCCAUUGUUAAACUUCUAUAGUGUCCUUGCCUCUCAGCCUGAUGACCUGAAUUCAAUCCCCAGGACCCACAUGGUGGAAGGAGAGAAGUGACUCCUGCCUUUGACCUCCACGUGAUCACUGUAGAACACCCUUCCCAAUACAUACAUACACACAUACACAUAUACAUACACACACAUACAUACACACACAUACACACAUAUACACAUAUAUACAUACAUACAUACACAUAUACACAUAUAUACAUACAAACACAUACAUACACAUAUGCACACACAUACAUGCACAUAUAUGUACAUAUAUACACAUACAUACAUAUAUACACAUACAUACAUGUAUACAUACACACAUACACACAUACAUAUAUACACAUACAUACAUGUAUACAUACACACAUGUACAUACAUACACAUACAUACAUACACACAUACAUAUAUACACACAUACAUGUAUACAUACACACAUGUACAUACAUACACAUACAUACAUACACAUAUACAUACAUAUAUACACACAUACAUAUAUAUACACACAUACAUAUUAUAUACGUACAUACACACACACAUAUAUAUAUACAUAUAUACAUACACAUACAGACAUACAUACGGAAGAGAAUACCAUUAAGUACCAUUUAUAAAGCUCAUAAGACUCCAGGCACAGAGAUGUUAUUGCUGCAUCCCUACAUCUCCAACCUCAUUUCCUUCCUUUCUUUCUCCUUCCUGUCUCAGUGCCUUUGCACGUCCCCUUUCGGUUAACUAUCACUGCCACGCCCUGGAGUGAGGGUGGAUCUUCAGCUCCAGACUGGCCGCUCUCCCCACAGCAUCUGAGUUCUGUGCCUUCCUCAUUUGCAUUCUCUGUCUCUGUCAUGUCUUCCUAGAAUGUGAACUUGAAAUGGCCGUGUGUUGGGCUCCUUGUGGCUAAUCUACAUUUCUCCAGCCCCCGUUGUGGAGAUGCUCGCUGGCUGUAUUCCUCUAGUAUACCCCAAACCUUGAAUAGGUUCGAACGAAACAAAGAAGAGGCAACUAAUGGGAAUUUGGUAGCGUGCUGAAGAGGCCUUUGAGGAGAAACUGUCGGUGUCUGACAGUGAGGUCGUCAGGUAAAUGUGCUUGCCUCUCUGCCAGAUGACCUGAAUGCAAUCCCCAGGACCCACAUGGUGGAAGGAGAGAAAUCGUUUCCUGAUGUUCUCUGACCUCCACAUGCAAACUGGGGCCACGUGGCCGCACAUGUGCGUGCACAUACUGGUGAAUAAAUUAAUAAACUAUUUAUUUACCUUACAGAUAAAAA
Rattus norvegicus (Norway rat) is the source of this 8568-nucleotide non-coding RNA. The record is from RefSeq and is a predicted model, not a curated record. NCBI's taxonomy places the organism in Eukaryota, Metazoa, Chordata, Mammalia, Rodentia, Muridae.